This 726-nucleotide ribosomal RNA is filed under the name uncultured bacterium. Its description in RNAcentral is "bacterial SSU rRNA". It matches the Rfam family "Bacterial small subunit ribosomal RNA", at positions 71 to 767 of the family's 1533-position model. The record is from RNAcentral.
UUCUUUAUCACCGAGUGCUUGCACUCACCGAUAAAGAGUUGAGUGGCGAACGGGUGAGUAACACGUGGGCAACCUGCCCAAAAGAGGGGGAUAACACUUGGAAACAGGUGCUAAUACCGCAUAACCAUAGUUACCGCAUGGUAACUGUGUAAAAGGUGGCUAUGCUACCGCUUUUGGAUGGGCCCGCGGCGCAUUAGCUAGUUGGUGGGGUAAAGGCUUACCAAGGCAAUGAUGCGUAGCCGAACUGAGAGGUUGAUCGGCCACAUUGGGACUGAGACACGGCCCAAACUCCUACGGGAGGCAGCAGUAGGGAAUCUUCCACAAUGGGCGAAAGCCUGAUGGAGCAACGCCGCGUGGGUGAAGAAGGUCUUCGGAUCGUAAAACCCUGUUGUUAGAGAAGAAAGUGCGUGAGAGUAACUGUUCACGUUUCGACGGUAUCUAACCAGAAAGCCACGGCUAACUACGUGCAGCAGCCGCGGUAAUACGUAGGUGGCAAGCGUUAUCCGGAUUUAUUGGGCGUAAAGGGAACGCAGGCGGUCUUUUAAGUCUGAUGUGAAAGCCUUCGGCUUAACCGGAGUAGUGCAUUGGAAACUGGGAGACUUGAGUGCAGAAGAGGAGAGUGGAACUCCAUGUGUAGCGGUGAAAUGCGUAGAUAUAUGGAAGAACACCAGUGGUGAAAGCGGCUCUCUGGUCUGUAACUGACGCUGAAGUUCGAAAGCGUGGGUA